RNAcentral lists this ribosomal RNA (253 nucleotides) under uncultured bacterium. Its description in RNAcentral is "partial 16S ribosomal RNA". It matches the Rfam family "Bacterial small subunit ribosomal RNA", at positions 524 to 776 of the family's 1533-position model. The record is from RNAcentral.
UACGAAGGGGGCUAGCGUUGUUCGGAUUAACUGGGCGUAAAGCGCACGUAGGCGGAUCGUUAAGUGAGGGGUGAAAUCCCAGGGCUCAACCCUGGAACUGCCUUUCAUACUGGCGAUCUUGAGUCCGGAAGAGGUGAGUGGAACUCCUAGUGUAGAGGUGGAAUUCGUAGAUAUUAGGAAGAACACCAGUGGCGAAGGCGGCUCACUGGUCCGGUACUGACGCUCAUGCACGAAAGCGUGGGGAGCAAAAGGG